GGUGCCUCAAGACCGUCUUUAAGAGACAAAGUAAUCACUAUACAGAUAUAAACUAGACUGAAGAAUGUUGAAAACCCCAGCCAAAUCCUUAAAGCUGACAAAUGGGGUAUAGCAAUGGCAAAAAGGACACACGCCAACCCAGCCACUGCAAUGAAGUGUGGCAAUUUCAUUUGAUGGUCAUCCCUAAAGAGAACAUAGAAAGCCUUUAAUGCUUGUCCACCCAAAAUGACAUAUCCAGUAUUUAUCAAGAAAAGAUUUGCAUACUGGGAUGCCCAGACAAGUGAAUAGGCUG
This 292-nucleotide unclassified non-coding RNA is filed under the name Hevea brasiliensis (rubber tree). Lineage: Eukaryota; Viridiplantae; Streptophyta; Magnoliopsida; Malpighiales; Euphorbiaceae. The record is from RNAcentral.